Molecule: long non-coding RNA, 1365 nt
Organism: Diachasmimorpha longicaudata
Lineage: Eukaryota; Metazoa; Arthropoda; Insecta; Hymenoptera; Braconidae
Exons: 5
Source: RefSeq, a predicted model, not a curated record
UGUAUAGAUACUUGGUAGCUUUCGGCAAUCUUUCGCGUAUGAUACGAGUAGUUGGCCGAUACGCUACCGUGUAUCUCGAUAUGAUAUAACCAUUAUGAAAACAUUCUUUGGCUCUUUAAGAUACGGGUGUUUACUAACAUUAUUGUCACCUCAUCUCCCCGAGUCAAUGAAUAUACCGUGAGCUCCUUUUCCCUGACGAGCUCACGGUAGAUUAGGAAAGAUUAGUAAAGACGUGUACUCCUACAAGUUCAGGAAUUUAUCAUUCGUGAAAGCUCAGAGGCUAUUCAUUCCUUCGCUGUCAGAUCCUCCCCGAUCACUGCAGUGGACGAUCUAACUCUCAUACGUCACAUCAAUAUUAUAAGAUUUUUUGCUCACAAAAAAGAUACAAUUCAGUUGGAUUAGAAACUCCUUUUUUGAUGAAUUUUUUAAAAUAUAAAAUGAGGUUAUGAAUUUUCAAUUUAUAGAUCUGCUAGUUCUUACAAUAUUUAUAAAAACGUAAACCUUUCACCCGAGUUGCUCACCUUUUUCCGUCCGGCAAUAUAACUAACCUCCAUUUCGGAUCAGAAGCCAAUGCACCGCGACCAAAAAUCCCUCGGGCCGUAGUUAUAAUAUCCUGGUGCUGGUGCUGAAUGUUAUAGACGAAAAAAGUCUGAAAAUACCGAAAUGACAGGACAAAGAACAAGGGACCAAUAAGUUAAUGGGCGUGAGAAAGAUCUCUGUCAGAAAGAGUUCUCAAAGAUGAGAAGUUGGUCAAGAUCUGGAGCAGCACAUUUUUUAAAACCAUCUAUUAAGUUUGAUGACGCCAGAGCUAGAUUCGAAUAGGUUCUGCUCCAACGAUUUUCCCACAUUCCAAGGAAAACUACUUUUACUACUAUCAUCGGCUCCAGAAACUAUUUUCCGCGGAGAAAAAUGUAUGAAACUUGAGGAAAUACCGAAUGGAGAAAUAAGUAAUAGGAAGUGUGGGAAAAUUAAUCAUUCAGAUUUAUAUGAGGAAACGUCGCGUAACAUUGAAAAAUCUAACACGAUCAUUUCUAUGAUGAGCUUGGACAUAUCGCGCAACGGCUGAAAGUGGACGAGCUUAUGAAGAACAAGAAGACACUUCAACAGAAGAGCAAUCUUUACCAAGAGAAGAUGUAAAAAGUGACAGAAAUCAUCACCACACUACUUCAAGCUAACGUUGUUAAAGUUCAUGUUUCGACAGAAAACUCCUCGGACAUCUCAUAAGCUGGAUUGGGAUAGUGCACCUUUUUUCCGGAGAGCUUACCAGGGUUAUCACAAUGUAAUGCACCAAAAUGUGAAUUGGAGCAAUUCUCAGAAAUUGCGCGCAAGUGAUUGCAAAAAUAUACAAAAGUAGUUGGAUUUACC